AAUGAACGCUGGCGGCAGGCUUAACACAUGCAAGUCGAGCGCCCCGCCAGGGGAGCGGCAGACGGGUGGGUAGCGCGUGGGAACGUACAUUUUGGUUUGGCACAACUUCGGGAUACUGGUGCCAUUACCGGAUAAGCCCUAACGGGGGAAGAUUUAUCGCCGAACGAUCGGCCCGCGUCUGAUUUGCUGGUUGGUGAGGUGACGGCUCACCAAGGCGACGAUCAGUAGCUGGUCUGAGAGGAUGACCAGCCACACUGGGACUGAGACACGGCCCAGACUCGGACGGGAGGGAGCAGUGGGGAAUAUUAGACAAGGGGCGCAAGCGUGAUCCAGCCAUGCCGCGGGAGUGGUGAAGGCCGUAGGGUUGUAAAGCUCUUUUGUCCGGGAAGAUAAUGACGGUACCGGAAGAAUAAGCCCCGGCUAACUUCGUG
Molecule: ribosomal RNA, 431 nt
Filed under: uncultured bacterium
Lineage: Bacteria
Description: partial 16S ribosomal RNA
Rfam family: Bacterial small subunit ribosomal RNA
Source: RNAcentral